RNAcentral lists this transfer RNA (65 nucleotides) under human gut metagenome. It matches the Rfam family "tRNA", at positions 8 to 63 of the family's 71-position model. Rfam says of the family: Transfer RNA (tRNA) molecules are approximately 80 nucleotides in length. The record is from RNAcentral.
GCGCGGUAGUUCAGUUGGUUAGAAUGCCAGCCUGUCACGCUGGAGGUCGAGGGUUCGAACCCCUU